AGCUCAGGUGCUUUUGCAGUUUCCAAGGCCAUAACUCCAUCAACUUUAUUCUCACUUUUGUCAUCAGAUGGUGAUCAUUUUUCUGGAAAUUGUGAUCGAUUCUUGUCGUCACCGAAGUAUGAAUGAAUCAGUGGUGAGGAAUUUUGAUACACCAUUUCAUUCUUGACGUCACAUGUUCGGAAUGACAUCAGAUGCACAAGUCAUGCAACGGCAGGAUCUCUCCGCAUGAGAUACAUUUGAUUCGUGGCCUGGUCGAAUGACCCUGAACGAGACGAAAGAAAGGAUAUUCGAUUCGUUUCCUAGUCUAGUCACAGUGUUGGUUGUUCGUGUAUGUGUACUGUAUUCGUGCCACAGCUCUUCGGUUGCCGCACUGUCUCUUCAGGAACCACUUUUCCAUUCUCACUCUCUUCAUUGCUAUCCAAAAAGGGCGUAGCAUACACGAUUUACAUGAGAUGAAAAAAUAAUCCAUAAGAAAAAAAAUUACUGUAUUAUAACACGUCCAUUGACUAAUAUUGAACAGCAACGAUUGAUUCACAUCUAACAAAAAAACGUCAAUUUUGAAUUCUUGUACACCCACUCCAAUGCAAAAAAAAUCGAUCGAUUUCAUGAUGUAUGACACAAAUGGAACUACUAAACACGCGUUUGUGAAAAUCCAAUUUUCAUCACUUCGGAAAACCAAUAAUCACUAACCUGAUUACUUUCCGAUUUCAACAAAUCACCAAAAUUUAUCCAAUUCGCAAGACAAUAAUGCCUAUCGUUGAGACUUGUUUCUUUGGGAAACACUGCACUAGAGCAGAACAGAUUUCGCACUUCACUAUUUCGCGUUUCAAAUCUCUCUGAUCACGGAUGAUUUGCGAAGAGCACAACUACACAACUUUUCCUUCCCGUUCAUGUGUGGGAAACUUGCAUACAAGCAAUAGGCAGGUGGAUAUCGUAAAUACUUACAGUCAGAAAAAAAAUUGUAAUUAUGAAUCAUACACUGGAGGAAAACAUUAGUAAAUGCAACUACCAAAUAUUUAGUAGAUGAAACAUUGGUAAAAUGUACGCAUUUUUCGUAAAUAUUACCAAAACUUUGUAAAACGGAUGUCUUAUGCAAUACACAUCCCUACUAAAGAUUCGUACAUUAUACUUCAUAGCAUGUGUAACCUUGAUUGUUUUCAUUUCUAGGAACUGUAAUGUGCGUACUUCGUAGUCGUCAUUCCUCUUGAUGAAACAAAGCUAUUCGGAGCUUCUAAUCUUGGAUUAAAAUUGCACAGUUCACUAUUCAAUGUAUAUUAGACUGAACAUGUGCAACACAAAGAAAUCUCAGGAAACGGGAGAGCAAAUAAUGCGGAUGGAAUGAACUGCGAUCUGGUCCCAUCAACUGCCAACUAAUCAGUUGUUCCUGUCCUAAAGGAUGAAAAUGUGCAACAGUAAAAGGAGCAAAACCUUGAUGAGUGAGGGUUUGACAAAACAUAUGAGAUUGAUUCGGUCGAAACUGCGAUUAAAUCUGCACGAGCAAUGUUUAGAUGUAGAAUGUAGGAUGUAGGAAAUUACUGUGUAAAAGAUAAUGUAUGAUUGAGGACAGCUUUUUAAAUAAGAAUUAAUUAUCAACAACAUAAUGUCAUUAUCCCUUAUCAUUAUCUCUUACAAAUAAAAAACAACGC
Molecule: long non-coding RNA, 1646 nt
Organism: Toxorhynchites rutilus septentrionalis
Lineage: Eukaryota; Metazoa; Arthropoda; Insecta; Diptera; Culicidae
Exons: 3
Source: RefSeq, a predicted model, not a curated record